GGGCGAUUAGUUCAGUUGGUAGAGCAUCUCGUUUACACCGAGAAAGUGGGCAGUUCAAGUCUGUCAUCGCCCACCA
Molecule: transfer RNA, 76 nt
Filed under: Orientia tsutsugamushi
Lineage: Bacteria; Pseudomonadati; Pseudomonadota; Alphaproteobacteria; Rickettsiales; Rickettsiaceae
Description: tRNA-Val(tac)
Rfam family: tRNA
About the family: Transfer RNA (tRNA) molecules are approximately 80 nucleotides in length. Their secondary structure includes four short double-helical elements and three loops (D, anti-codon, and T loops).
Source: RNAcentral